This 63-nucleotide transfer RNA is filed under the name Fleutiauxia armata. RNAcentral describes it as "tRNA-Asp". Lineage: Eukaryota; Metazoa; Arthropoda; Insecta; Coleoptera; Chrysomelidae. The record is from RNAcentral.
AAAAAUUUAGUUAAACCAUAACAUUAGCUUGUCAAGCUAAAAUUAUUUUAAAAAUAAUUUUUA